CCUACGGGUGGCUGCAGUGGGGAAUAUUGGACAAUGGGCGAAAGCCUGAUCCAGCCAUGCCGCGUGUGUGAAGAAGGCCUUCGGGUUGUAAAGCACUUUCAGUGGGGAAGAAAGCCUUGGGGCUAAUACCCUCGAGGAAGGACAUCACCCACAGAAGAAGCACCGGCUAACUCCGUGCCAGCAGCCGCGGUAAUACGGAGGGUGCGAGCGUUAAUCGGAAUUACUGGGCGUAAAGCGCGCGUAGGCGGUCUGAUAAGCCGGUUGUGAAAGCCCCGGGCUCAACCUGGGAACGGCAUCCGGAACUGUCAGGCUAGAGUGCAGGAGAGGAAGGUAGAAUUCCCGGUGUAGCGGUGAAAUGCGUAGAGAUCGGGAGGAAUACCAGUGGCGAAGGCGGCCUUCUGGACUGGCACUGACGCUGAGGUGCGAAAGCGUGGGUAGCAAACAGGAUUAGAUACCCCAGUAGUC
This 465-nucleotide ribosomal RNA is filed under the name Vreelandella stevensii. RNAcentral's name for it is "partial 16S ribosomal RNA". It matches the Rfam family "Bacterial small subunit ribosomal RNA", at positions 338 to 795 of the family's 1533-position model. Lineage: Bacteria; Pseudomonadati; Pseudomonadota; Gammaproteobacteria; Oceanospirillales; Halomonadaceae. The record is from RNAcentral.